AUUGAACGCUGGCGGCAUGCCUUACACAUGCAAGUCGAACGGCAGCACGGGUGCUUGCACCUGGUGGCGAGUGGCGAACGGGUGAGUAAUACAUCGGUACAUGUCCUUUAGUGGGGGAUAGCCCGGCGAAAGCCGGAUUAAUACCCCAUACGAUCUACGGAUGACAGCGGGGGACCUUCGGGCCUCGCGCUGUAGGGUUGGCCGAUGGCUGAUUAGCUAGUUGGUGGGGUAAAGGCCUACCAAGGCGACGAUCAGUAGCUGGGCUGAGAGGACGACCAGCCACACUGGGACUGAGACACGGCCCAGACUCCUACGGGAGGCAGCAGUGGGGAAUUGUGGACAAUGGGCGAAAGCCUGAUCCAGCAAUGCCGCGUGUGUGAAGAAGGCCUUCGGGUUGUAAAGCACUUUUGUCCGGAAAGAAAUCCUUGGCCCUAAUACGGUCGGGGGAUGACGGUACCGGAAGAAUAAGCACCGGCUAACUACGUG
This 486-nucleotide ribosomal RNA is filed under the name uncultured bacterium. RNAcentral describes it as "partial 16S ribosomal RNA". It matches the Rfam family "Bacterial small subunit ribosomal RNA", at positions 30 to 507 of the family's 1533-position model. The record is from RNAcentral.